CAGCGUCAAUAUAACUUAAUAGUUACAACUUUCAACAACGGAUCUCUUGGUUCUGGCAUCGAUGAAGAACGCAGCGAAAUGCGAUAAGUAGUGUGAAUUGCAGAAUUCAGUGAAUCAUCGAAUCUUUGAACGCACAUUGCGCCCCUUGGUAUUCCAUGGGGCAUGCCUGUUCGAGCGUC
Molecule: ribosomal RNA, 179 nt
Filed under: Pleospora sp. SGQ-11
Lineage: Eukaryota; Fungi; Ascomycota; Dothideomycetes; Pleosporales; Pleosporaceae
Description: 5.8S ribosomal RNA
Rfam family: 5.8S ribosomal RNA (bases 27-179)
About the family: 5.8S ribosomal RNA (5.8S rRNA) is a component of the large subunit of the eukaryotic ribosome. It is transcribed by RNA polymerase I as part of the 45S precursor that also contains 18S and 28S rRNA. Functionally, it is thought that 5.8S rRNA may be involved in ribosome translocation.
Source: RNAcentral